Molecule: ribosomal RNA, 400 nt
Filed under: uncultured bacterium
Lineage: Bacteria
Description: partial 16S ribosomal RNA
Rfam family: Bacterial small subunit ribosomal RNA
Source: RNAcentral
AAUAUUGCAAAUGGGGCAAAACCCUAUGCCACCAAGGCCCCUUGAGGGAGUAAGCCCUUUGGUCCGCAAAGCCCUUGCCUUGGGGAAGAAUAAUGACCGGUACCCUUGGGGAAACCCCCGCUUACCAACGUGCCUGCAGCCGCGGUAAUACGUAGGGGGCAAGCGUUAUCCGGAAUUAUUGGGCGUAAAGAGUGCGUAGGUGGUUUUGUAAGCGCGGGGUGAAAGGCAAUGGCUCAACCAUUGUAAGCCUUGCGAACUGCAAGACUUGAGUGCAGGAGAGGAAAGUGGAAUUCCUAGUGUAGCGGUGAAAUGCGUAGAUAUUAGGAGGAACACCAGUGGCGAAGGCGACUUUCUGGACUGUAACUGACACUGAGGCACGAAAGCGUGGGGAGCAAACAGG